This 253-nucleotide ribosomal RNA is filed under the name uncultured bacterium. RNAcentral's name for it is "partial 16S ribosomal RNA". It matches the Rfam family "Bacterial small subunit ribosomal RNA", at positions 524 to 776 of the family's 1533-position model. The record is from RNAcentral.
UACGUAGGGUGCGAGCGUUGUCCGGAAUUAUUGGGCGUAAAGAGCUUGUAGGCGGUCUGUCGCGUCUGCUGUGAAAAUCCGGGGCUCAACCCCGGACUUGCAGUGGGUACGGGCAGACUAGAGUGUGGUAGGGGAGACUGGAAUUCCUGGCGUAGCGGUGAAAUGCGCAGAUAUCAGGAGGAACACCGAUGGCGAAGGCAGGUCUCUGGGCCACUACUGACGCUGAGAAGCGAAAGCAUGGGGAGCGAACAGG